This 382-nucleotide ribosomal RNA is filed under the name uncultured Pseudomonas sp. RNAcentral's name for it is "bacterial SSU rRNA". It matches the Rfam family "Bacterial small subunit ribosomal RNA", at positions 1001 to 1382 of the family's 1533-position model. The record is from RNAcentral. Lineage: Bacteria; Pseudomonadati; Pseudomonadota; Gammaproteobacteria; Pseudomonadales; Pseudomonadaceae.
UAGAGAUGGAUUGGUGGCCUUCGGGAACUCUGACACAGGUGCUGCAUGGCUGUCGUCAGCUCGCGUCGUGAGAUGUUGGGUUAAGUCCGUAACGAGCGCAACCCUUGUCCUUAGUUACCAGCACGUUAUGGUGGGCACUCUAAGGAGACUGCCGGUGACAAACCGGAGGAAGGUGGGGAUGACGUCAAGUCAUCAUGGCCCUUACGGCCUGGGCUACACACGUGCUACAAUGGUCGGUACAAAGGGUUGCCAAGCCGCGAGGUGGAGCUAAUCCCAUAAAACCGAUCGUAGUCCGGAUCGCAGUCUGCAACUCGACUGCGUGAAGUCGGAAUCGCUAGUAAUCGUGAAUCAGAAUGUCACGGUGAAUACGUUCCCGGGCCUU